Peromyscus maniculatus bairdii (prairie deer mouse) is the source of this 443-nucleotide non-coding RNA. Lineage: Eukaryota; Metazoa; Chordata; Mammalia; Rodentia; Cricetidae. The record is from RefSeq and is a predicted model, not a curated record.
UCCCUCUUGAGCAGAGAUUAGGUAUGCUUGCUGAAGAAACACUGAUAUCCUAAACUUGGAUUUUUUUUUCUGUGACAGCUCACUGAAUGUGUUAACAUCACUGGCCUAGUUUAUUUUAUCACUGCAAGAUAAAACAUAUUUUGAAGCUGAAUAGCAUUUUCAUCUAAGAGUAAUGUUGAAGAUCAUUCCCUGAAGUCACCAGGUCUUACUUUAAAUCCAGGAUCCUACUAAACUGCUGGGGCUUAUGUUUGUGCAAACGAUCUGCAAGUCUUCCACGAUUUCAAGUCAGAAUGGGUAGCAGGGAUGCUUACAUCCCGCUGAAGUUCUUUCUCAGCAAGUUUAUAAUUUGUCCCUAGAGGAUUAUUCUAAGAACAUUUUUCCUUGGCAUGUUUAAAAUCUUUAGGUUUCUUUUUAUAAUAAAGAAUUUUUAAUAGCCUUUCAAA